UAGGGAAUCUUCGGCAAUGGACGGAAGUCUGACCGAGCAACGCCGCGUGAGGGAAGAAGGUUUUCGGAUCGUAAAGCUCUGUUGGUAGAGAAGAACGUUGGUAGGAGUGGAAAAUCUACAAAGUGACGGUAACUAACAAGAAAGGGACGGCUAACUACGUGCCAGCAGCCGCGGUAAUACGUAGGUCGCGAGCGUUGUCCGGAUUUAUUGGGCGUAAAGCGAGCGCAGGCGGUUCUGUAAGUCUGAAGUUAAAGGCAGUGGCUUAACCAUUGUACGCUUUGGAAACUGGAGGACUUGAGGGCAGAAGGGGAGAGUGGAAUUCCAUGUUUAGCGGUGAAAUGCGUAGAUAUAUGGAGGAACCCCGGUGGCGAAAGCGGCUCUCUGGUCUGUAACUGACGCUGAGGCUCGAAAGCGUGGGGAGCAAACAGG
Molecule: ribosomal RNA, 429 nt
Filed under: Bacillota bacterium
Lineage: Bacteria; Bacillati; Bacillota
Description: Firmicutes bacterium partial 16S ribosomal RNA
Rfam family: Bacterial small subunit ribosomal RNA
Source: RNAcentral